Molecule: ribosomal RNA, 250 nt
Filed under: uncultured bacterium
Lineage: Bacteria
Description: partial 16S ribosomal RNA
Rfam family: Bacterial small subunit ribosomal RNA
Source: RNAcentral
UGGGGAAUAUUGGACAAUGGGCGAAAGCCUGAUCCAGCAAUGCCGCGUGAGUGAUGAAGGCCUUAGGGUUGUAAAGCUCUUUUACCCGGGAAGAUAAUGACUGUACCGGGAGAAUAAGCCCCGGCUAACUCCGUGCCAGCAGCCGCGGUAAUACGGAGGGGGCUAGCGUUGUUCGGAAUUACUGGGCGUAAAGCGCACGUAGGCGGCUUUGUAAGUUAGAGGUGAAAGCCUGGGGCUCAACUCCAGAAUU